UACAGAGGGGGCAAGCGUUGUUCGGAAUUACUGGGCGUAAAGGGCGCGUAGGCGGCCUGUUAAGUCGAACGUGAAAUCCCUGGGCUCAACCCAGGAACUGCGUCCGAUACUGGCAGGCUUGAAUUCGGGAGAGGGAUGCGGAAUUCCAGGUGUAGCGGUGAAAUGCGUAGAUAUCUGGAGGAACACCGGUGGCGAAGGCGACAUCCUGGACCGGUAUUGACGCUGAGGCGCGAAAGCCAGGGGAGCAAACGGG
RNAcentral lists this ribosomal RNA (253 nucleotides) under uncultured bacterium. Its description in RNAcentral is "partial 16S ribosomal RNA". It matches the Rfam family "Bacterial small subunit ribosomal RNA", at positions 524 to 776 of the family's 1533-position model. The record is from RNAcentral.